AAUUUUUUUUUUUUUUUUAAGAUUACACACGUCUAAUAAUUAUUUCUGUUCACACACCCUGUUGAGCCAAACCGUUCAUAGCGGACGUUUCUAAAACAAAUUUGUUUUAUUUAUUUUUUUUUUAAUCUAACCAGAUC
Molecule: long non-coding RNA, 137 nt
Organism: Thalassophryne amazonica
Lineage: Eukaryota; Metazoa; Chordata; Actinopteri; Batrachoidiformes; Batrachoididae
Exons: 3
Source: RefSeq, a predicted model, not a curated record